GAUGAACGCUGGCGGCGUGCCUAAUACAUGCAAGUCGAGCGAACAGACGAGGAGCUUGCUCCUCUGACGUUAGCGGCGGACGGGUGAGUAACACGUGGAUAACCUACCUAUAAGACUGGGAUAACUUCGGGAAACCGGAGCUAAUACCGGAUAAUAUAUUGAACCGCAUGGUUCAAUAGUGAAAGACGGUUUUGCUGUCACUUAUAGAUGGAUCCGCGCCGCAUUAGCUAGUUGGUAAGGUAACGGCUUACCAAGGCAACGAUGCGUAGCCGACCUGAGAGAGUGGUCGGCCACACUGGAGCUGAGACACGGUCCAGACUCCUACGGGAGGCAGCAGUAGGGAAUCUUCCGCAGUGGGCGAAAGCCUGACGGAGCAACGCCGCGUGAGUGAUGAAGGUCUUCGGAUCGUAAAACUCUGUUAUUAGGGAAGAACAAAUGUGUAAGUAACUAUGCACGUCUUGACGGUACCUAAUCAGAAAGCCACGGCUAACUACGUG
RNAcentral lists this ribosomal RNA (497 nucleotides) under uncultured bacterium. RNAcentral's name for it is "partial 16S ribosomal RNA". It matches the Rfam family "Bacterial small subunit ribosomal RNA", at positions 28 to 507 of the family's 1533-position model. The record is from RNAcentral.